GUCUACAGCCAUACCACCCUGAACGUGCCCGAUCACGUCUGAUCUUGGAAGCUAAGCAGGGUCGGGCCUGGUUAGUACUUGGACGGGAGAAAUGAAAAAAAAAAAAACAGAAAACC
This 116-nucleotide ribosomal RNA is filed under the name Castor canadensis (American beaver). The record is from RNAcentral. Lineage: Eukaryota; Metazoa; Chordata; Mammalia; Rodentia; Castoridae.